Humulus lupulus (European hop) is the source of this 3217-nucleotide RNA transcript. RefSeq lists it as uncharacterized. The transcript has 2 exons. NCBI's taxonomy places the organism in Eukaryota, Viridiplantae, Streptophyta, Magnoliopsida, Rosales, Cannabaceae. The record is from RefSeq and is a predicted model, not a curated record.
CAUCUUCUUUCUCCCCUUUUUUAAUUCACCACCAAUGUUAUGAUGGAUCCUAUCAGUUCCAAUUCGAAAAUCCAAGAAAAAAUCAUUUAUUUAUCGUUUUAAUUUUUGUUGAUAACCUUUGUUUAUAUAUAUUAAAAAUAAAUGAUUUGUUAUGAAUUUUAGAAUAUAGUUUCACAUGGUUCAUAAUUUUCACUGUGAUUUUCGUAAGGGGUGCUUGUGAUUCACGUUAGAUGCUAAGACGUAUGUGAUUAGGUUAGCUGGAUUAGUUUUGUAAAUAAUCUCUGUAGUAUAUACCUAAAUUUUCUGGCUUGCAAGGUUUGUCAAUUGUAAAAAAAAAAAAAAAAAAACUGGAUUUUUUUUUUAAAUGGAAUAAUUUAGGGAAAGGAAUUAAUUGAAAAAUUAUGUUCUAUCAUUUUAUGACUAUAUGAGCUGGAAAGCGUCAAUAACAAACUGAACGAGAUAAGAAUUUCCCUAGAAUUCUCAGUCUUAGAAUCUAGAUGGGCGUAAGUUUCUGAAUUUGUAAGUGUCAUUUCUUAGAUAAGAUUAAAAGAAGAUUGUUCUGGAUUUCAGUUUUUUAGUACAAGUUAUAGAAAUGGAUUGCUUUAAUCUCCAAUAUGUACACUUAAUCUUAUGGAACUGUGGCAUAUGCUUUGGAUUCAAUAUAUAUAAUGCAUGGUUCUGAGUUUUCUAAUCAUCUCUGUAGAAUUGAUAGCUAUAAUAUAAUUACAUUUGUUGUAUACAUGGAGGUAUAAUCACUUUCGGUGUUGGAGAAACAAGGUAUGAGGCUACUUGAAAAUCUCGGAUGAGCAUUUAGUAAAUUUAGCAAGACCAUGGUGAUAUGAAGUUUUUGAGUUAGGUAUAACUAUCUCAAACCCAGAUAGGAUACUUGUUACUGUUGCGUUCUGUUUAGUUUCUGUUGUAUUCUUAUAGUUUGCUUGGCCGUUUGAGAGUUAGUAGAGAAGUGUUGGUUGUUAUUUGAGGUUUAUAAAUACGUGUUGAAAAGAGUUGAGCCAUAGAACAAUGUGGUUGUGUUGGUAAAGGGGAGCUUCUUGAAUCAACUCAAUGUAUCAUUAUUUGAUUUGGUCUAAGACCAGUUCUUUGCUAAUGUAAGAAAGAGGAGUUUCAGUCAUUUUUGUGUUUUGUGAGAUAGGAUACCUAGAAAGCAACCACCAUUCACUCAAAUAGUUGAGCGACUGGCAGCCAGUAUAGAUUCAUUCUUCUCACCUGGUCCAACUUCACAACCAUUCUUGGGUUGGUCAGAAGUCAGUCUUGUUUGGUAAGACGGAAUUGGAUGUAGAGGGUGCUCAAAAAUAUCCUAACACAAUCAAGGGCCUAGCUUUGUUUUUGCAUUGUUUGAGUUUUUAGUUUACACAAGGCAAUGACAAAGUGUUUUUCAAUGUGUGAGUUUGUUUAUUGUUAGGCUCGUUUGAUAUCAAUUGAGAUUGCCCAAGAGUGUUCUAUAUUCUGUAUUUUGUGACUUAAUAAUGGCAGUGAUACACUAGCACAAAUGCAUGCAUCAUGCUCGCUCACAAACACAAAAGCACACUUUCACUUUCUGUGUUUCUGGUUAAAUUCUUGUUUUGUUGAAUCUGUGCAUUGUGAUCCUUCCUUCUCUUUGUUUCCGUAUUUACUGUUUGCUUACUCAUAAUCACUGUAUUUAUUUAAAGACUUGUUUCUAACUUGUUAUGUUUUAAUGCCUCAUGAUGGAUGUCAUGCUUUGAAAUGCCAAAAACAGAGUUUAGUAUUCUGGUGGUAUCUUAAUAUAAAAAAUGCCAAAGGUUAGAAGAGUACGGUCCUUGUCUUUUGAUCAAUCUAGGGCAUCUCCUUACCCUUGUGCAUCUAAGGAUGAUAAACCAUGCAAUUUUAGUAGUCCAUUGGGAUCUGUCGAUGAUAUGAAAGAAUGGGAAGAUGCUAGGUGCCCUAUAUGCAUGGAACACCCACAUAAUGCUGUGCUUUUAAAAUGUUCAUCUCAUGAGCAGGGCUGCCGGCCUUACAUGUGCAAUACGAGCUACCGGCACUCAAACUGCCUUGACCAGUUUUGUAAGUCAUCUGAGCCUUACUCUUCAACAGCAUUGCUGCAAGAAAUUCCUCUCACAAGCAAUGCCUCUCGCAGAAUAAGUGAAGAACCAUCACUCCCUGGGUUAACCAGGCCUUGUGGGAGCCUUAUGCAUGGAAAGCUGGUCUGCCCUCUUUGUCGAGGAGAUGUCUAUGGCUAUAUUGUAAUACUGCCUGCUCGUCAGUUCAUGAACACCAAAGUUAGAAGUUGCUCUUCCGAGACUUGUGAUUUUACUGGAACCUACACUGAACUUAGGAAACAUGCGAGAUCUGAACACCCUUUUGUGCGGCCAUCAGAGGUGGAUCCAACACGGCAGCGCGAUUGGAGAAGGUUGGAAUGGGAAAGAGAUUUGGAGGAUGUCCUUAGCUUAGUACAACCAGGGUUUGCAGAAGAGAGUAGUUUUGAAGACCCAUCAGAUGAUGUUGAUUCUUGGAUGACUUCUUUUUUUGCUAAUAUGUUUCGUUCUAUUGAGAUCGUGCUUGUUACCCGUUUUAUGAAUGCUUCACGAGAUAGAGAGCAGUCCCAUCAUAGAAGAUUAGAUAGAAUGCCAAGGUUACAUCAUGAUGGUAGUACUAGCUCUGGCACUAGACGGAGCAAUAAUUUUCAUGAGAGUAAUCUCCAUGCCAGACGACUGCGAUGGCGCACACCACAACCAAACUAUGAGGUGGAAACUAUUCCGGACACCCAUUCAAACUAUGGGGCUGGAACUAAUCCUUUCACUCGAAGGAGCAAUCAUUCUGUUCAAGAUAGAGCACCUCAUGGGCGACGACUUCAUUGGCGGAAUCAGAGAUGGUCAAGCUACAAUAACCAGUGGUGAUUGCAGCACAUUGUGAGUUACUUGGCUCGUAAUUUAGAGCCACCUUGGCUUAUAGCUAUGUUGCGGAUAAAGUUCAAAUGUGGGUUAAAAUGGCUGAAGGGUUUGGGACGUCCCAUUGUUAAGUUGCAAUAAUACAUUAUAUUGAGGGCUUUUGGGAUUGUAUUUCAACCUUUCUAGUUCACCUUUUCGAUCUUUGUCAAAACUAAUGGCUUUUUAUUUGUUCCUGUGAUCAAGGGAACUUUUUUUAUUUAUUAUGGCAAUUUGAAAGUGAGAAGUGUGUGGCUACUGGCAUUCAAAAUAACUGAUGUAUUUUUUUUAAUGUUCUAUUUUAUUUUAUUUUUUCA